This is a long non-coding RNA of Gorilla gorilla gorilla (western lowland gorilla), 1276 nucleotides long. RefSeq lists it as uncharacterized. The record is from RefSeq and is a predicted model, not a curated record. The transcript is spliced from 7 exons. NCBI's taxonomy places the organism in Eukaryota, Metazoa, Chordata, Mammalia, Primates, Hominidae.
UUCUGAGCUUACAUGGGGCAUUUCAAUACAGUGACCCAAUUACUUUCUGUCAACAAAUUCACCAGCAAAAUAAAGGGGCUAACACAUUAACGAGAUUUCCUGAGACUGCCAUGUAGAGAUGCUUGCAAUCCUUUGCUCUGAAGAAGCCAGGCACCAUGGCAUGAGGCAGCCCUGUGGAGAGGUUCAUGUGGUACAGGACCAGGCCUGCAACAUCACUUGAGACCACAAAACAGCCUUGUAAACUCAUCCUAGAGGAUCUAAAAGAGAACCCCCUCAUAACAGAAUGGCAUUCCCAGCUUGCGGGCCCUGAGACUCCAUUGAGUCAUGCCACAUGUAUGGAAAAUGAUUUUUGGAGUGUUAUUCUAUCUAAGGAAAAACAAAGCAAAUUUUCCACUUUCAAGAUUAAAGGACAUUCUGUCUACAUUAAGACAAGCAGGGUAAGUCUUAAACACUUGUUAAUCUUAGCACUAUGUUUAACAAGCCUCCCAAGUAUGGAACUCAAGAAACCUAAGAAAUGAGAUCAAUGUUAGCUUUUUCAUGAAAUUUAAAUGUGUCAAACAAUAAAGUCUUCAAAUAUUUUGCCAUUUUUUGCUAACAGGGAAAAUUAAGCAGUGAAUUAAUGACCUCACAAGGAUUUUGGAGAAUGCUGGCAUCAUUCUCAGGGAUAGAUUUCAUCCAAUUCCUCUCUUUGAUGGAGUGCAAAGAAGUAAGUUACUGUUGGACUAAGAAUAUCCAAGACAAUGGCCACAACUUGAAAGCACAUGGAAAAACAUGAAUUAUUUUUAUAAUGUCAGCUAAUCCACAGCUGUGCCACCUGUUAGUAUGGAUGCUAUCCAAAAGGAUUUUUGAAACCUUGUUAUCCAAAUGCAGAAAUGGCAGCCGAAGAGAUGAUUUGUGACAGUAUUUGCUGAGACGAAGUCUGUCCACUAGAUGGAUAAAACCAGUUCCCUUUUCAUAGGUUCUUUUAAUGCAAGAGAAAGAAAACCAGCUACAACCAGCUAAAAUCAAAUGGGGAGUUUCAUGGGGCACAUCCACAAAGUGGACAUGUCAGGACAGGGGAACAUCUGGAUCACAAGAAUGCCGGUUCCCGAAGACAAUAAGGAUGGUUUCCAGCCUCUACUAUUUCUGCACUGUGAAGCCAUCAUCUCCAUUUCAGACUUUCCCACUAAGCAGGAAAUACAACUGCCAACAGCAGCUAGCUUCAUACCUCAAAGCAACACCAGAAAGAAGAAGCAUUUCCACUGAGGGAAGGAUUGACUGUGAGGAGUAUUUCCCC